AAGAAAGUGACAGAGUGGCUAUGUGGUUGGCUUGAAACCAAUGUAUGGGGGUUCAACUCCUCCCUUUCUCG
RNAcentral lists this transfer RNA (71 nucleotides) under Embiotoca jacksoni (black perch). RNAcentral's name for it is "tRNA-Ser". It matches the Rfam family "tRNA". From Rfam's summary of the family: Transfer RNA (tRNA) molecules are approximately 80 nucleotides in length. The record is from RNAcentral. Lineage: Eukaryota; Metazoa; Chordata; Actinopteri; Embiotocidae.